AUCCAAUGGCUCUCCUUUUCAUCAUCCCUUGGAGCCCAAUAUGUCCACAAAUGGUCAUUGUCUAGCAUAUUUUCAGGUCCAAAACCUCCUCCUUUGCCUCCUCUUCGGCUACUAACUUUGAUAGAACAUUUCUCUGCUAAAUUGGUAGAAAAUAUUGCGUCGAUUGCACUUCUGAAUUCUCUCAGUCUUUGAACAUCUUCGUCGGCUAUGAGCCCAGUCGGAUUAGGAGGCACAUUGAGUAGCAGCACACAAUUUCUCCCCACCGAGUUGUAGUAAAUUUCAAGUAGCUUGCUUAGCCUCUUGGGUGACUCUGAUUUAUGCCAAAACCAUCCAUCUCGGAUCGAAACGUCGCACUCUGCCGGCAACCAAUCCGUCCCUUUUGGAUCGCCCUUGUUGAGAUAACUGCAUUCAGUAACAAGACAUUCGUUAGGUGGUGGAUUAAGAUAUGAGAGAGGUCACUUUCCUACAAUAACAUCAAUCAAUCAACCAGUGUCCCUGUAUACACGUUAAGCCAAAUGAGCUACAGUUACGAGUUAUAUCGAAAUGAAUCGUAAUCCUGAAUCUACCCUAAUUCUAACUUGUAACCCUCCCAUCCAUCACUAAACUAGCUACAACUUCAAUUAAUCUGUAAUGCUAAGAGUUUGGCAAUCUACAAAACACUCCAUCUUAAACAAAAUAAAAUGACAGAGGUGGGUUAAGCUUGUAAGUUAGGCAGUGCUCGCCGGCCUAAACACUUCCAUCUUAAACAAAACCAAAUGACAGGUGCGGGUUAGGAUAGUUGACUAAGACAACGUAUCAGUCUGUCUUGCAUUCAAGUACAUCUACUUUUUCGUAAACUAGAGUUGUUCAAAAUAUUGCAUUGUCAGGGAAAAAAAAACAAAUAUAAAACAAGAUAUACCAAAAUGAUGGGAUUUUAUUACAAAGAGAAGAAAAGUGAAUUUCCGUGAAGUAGAAAAUAAAAAAAAAUGGUACUCACUCUUCAAUGCUUGCAUUGCCAAUUGAUAGUGAGGUCCGAUUAAUGGUGGACCAACACGUACUCCCGGCAAACCCUUGCUCAUUUCCAACCCAUCUAACAUCCGGACCAGCAUCCGAAAAUAUGUUAAUGGAGCUCUGCAACUCCUUCACCAUGGAGAACCAAUCUGUGAAAUAAUAGGACAUGUUUGGUGCAUUCUUCCCCUUAUUCCCAUCAAACCAAAUCUCUUUCACACCCCCAUAUCUAUCAACAACAAAACCAAAAAUCAAUAGAAGUUUAGUAUUCUUAACUAUUAAAGUUAAUAUUUUGUAACAGACUUGAGUUACAUCAGUUGAUCAAUGCGGCGAGGCCUUACCUGCUGAGGAGCUCUUGCAGUUGAGCUAAGUAGUACUGGUUGUAGGCAAUCUCAUGCCCGUAUCUCCGAUCAUGUCUAUCCCACGGUGAGAGAUAGAGCCCUAUAUCAAUCCCACGGGGAUUUGCUGCAUCAACCAGCUCAUGCACAACAUCCCCGUGACCAUUUCGCCAAGGACUAUUUGCCACGGAGUGAUCCGUGUACUUUGAAGGCCACAAGCAAAACCCAUCGUGGUGUUUGGCAGUCAGUAUCAUCAGUGAUAUGCCGGCGUCCGACGCUGUUCUGGCCCAUUGGUUGGCGUCGAGACCGACUGGGUUGAAUAUUCCGGGGCUUUCGUGCCCCGUUCCCCAUUCGGAGUCGGUGAAUGUGUUCACUCCGAAGUGGAGGAACAUGAUGAUCUCCCUUUGCUGCCAUUUGAGCUGGGCGUAUGUGGGAAGGGGCAGGAUUGGCAGUGGAGGUGUUGGGACUUGCUCAAGCUUGGAGAAGGUGCAAGUGCACAGCUGAAAGAAUGCGAUUAUCCACAAAGAGCACCAUAUUUUAGCCAUAAUUAUAAUGGCCUUGGCCUGUUGAGUUCUUUUCUUUGUUGUCUAUUUAGCACCUUUUAAAUAGGACUGGAAAUUUUGUAACCACAAUAAAUCCCAGAAGUUGAAAUUGGCCUCAUAGGGUUUAUCUCACUCUCUUUUUCUUUCUUAUAUAUCUUUUUGGGUUUAUGUUACUUAAUUUGCACAAUUUUAGUUUUGUUUCUUGUUGAAACUCUUGCAUGUACAUUAUAAUUGCUAGAGUAUUUACUAUUUUAAGGGUUUCUUUUUCUAUUCUAGCGGUUUUCUAAUUCAAUUUAAUCUAUGAAGAGAGAUAUUCGAACUUGAGUGCAUGUGAAUACAUUGUUCUGAUUCUCAGCUCAAACUUGCUGUUAUUUUUAGAAUUAAAAUGAAAACAAUCUAAACAAACCCAACCAAAUGAAAACAACUAAACAAGCAUACAUCAAUAAAAAAAAAUCAAGGGAAAAUGUCCAAGAAAAUCAUUUAUAAACUAAAAAGGAUGUAGAUGAGGACCAAGCAUGGAGAGAUUGAUGGAGAAAUGCGAAAGCAACAACAACAACUAAUAAUUCUUCACGAAAAGUGAAUUAUUUAGAAGUGGGAAUAGAGGGACCAAACACAUGUAAUGUAAGAGAAUAUUCUCCCAAUAAAGAAAGCCAAACAUGCAUGACACCAAGCAACCUUUUUCUGCAUGAAUUUUUGUUUUCUUCACUUAAUCUUUGCAAUUGUUGUUGCAUGUGAUACAAUCGUUCACGGAUUUCUUGCCUUUUGGUCUGAGUGCAUAGGCGAAGGAUCAUUGUAUGGAUAAACAUCUCCCAUCACCAAUUUAUCAUAACAAGCUUUUAUUAGAUGAGUAGUUCAUAUUUUGAAAAUUCUACAAGUAUUUAUCAUAAAAGUGUCGCGACGGAAACUAUAUUGCAAAACAGAACAUCUCCAUUACAUGGGUUAUUGACUUUGGAGGGUGAGAAAAUCUCUCACAGUGACUGUCUUUCUAGAAGAAAAAUAUGGACGCUUUAGUGGAGAAUAUUGAUGUACGCACAGCAUACCAUGAAACAUGCUUAAAUAUUUAAAAUACUAUGAAGGCCACAUAAUGGAGUUAGGUUGUGGAUCGUCAAGGACAAUCUGUCACUAUAAUUAGGUGAGAUUUUGUAAGGUUUCAUAUGCUUCGGCUACACGUAAAAUAAAGAUACAACUACAACCAUGUUCAUACAACUAAUUCAAAACAAAAAUAAAACUACAAAAGCAAUGAAAAAGAGAUUUUUGGAUAGGGAUUUUUGUACCAGAUCACUCCCUCAUUCAAGAUACACAUAUAGAGAGAUUCCCGCAUUCAGAUUUUGUAACAACCCAUUUUAGAGGAUCGGAAUGCAGAAUAUCUCCAUACGCGCGUUUUGGGCGCACGAAUAACGUGAUAAGAAAGUUUCUACCAAAAAAAUUUCCCAUGCAAUGUCAUGUGUGAAAAUCUCUCACAGUGACUGUCUUUCUAGAAGAAGAAUAUGGACGCUUUAGUGGAGAAUAUUGAUGUACGCAAAGCAUACCGUGAAACAUGCUUAGAUAUUUCAAAUACUAUGAAGGCCACAUAAUGGGGUUAGGUUGUGGAUCGUCAAGGACAAUCUGUCACUAUAAUUAGGUGCGAUUUUGUAAGGUUUCAUAUGCUUCGGCUACACAUAAAAUAAGGAUACAACUACAACCAUGUUCAUACAACUAAUUCAAAACAAAAAUAAAACUACAAAAGCAAUGAAAAAGAGAUUUUUGGAUAGGGAUUUUUGUACCAGAUCACUCCCUCAUUCAAGAUACACAUAUAGAGAGAUUCCCGCAUUCAGAUUUUGUAACAACCCAUUUUAGAGGAUCGGAAUGCAGGAUAUCUCCAUACGCGCGUUUUGGGCGCACGAAUAACGUGAUAGGGAAGUUUCUACCAAAAAAAAUUCCCAUGCAAUGUCACGUGUGAAAUUGACCUCUAGCAGGCCAGACCAUAAACCUUGGGCUGAUAUGAAUCAUCUUAAGGGCCUAAUUUUCUUACCCACUAAUUGUAUUUACCAAAGGAGAGUGCAACUAAGCCCAUCAUGCAACAAUAAGAAUUUCUUCUUCUUUUUUUUUUCUUCCAAUUUUAUCCAUAUAAGAAAUAAAAAAACAAAAAUAAAAUCAGAGGAGAAGGGUUACAAAAUAAAAAUUGUUAGGUAUCAAGACUCUCAACAUCAAACUUUUGGGCUAAAAGAAUUGUCAUACUUUAAAAAAGGAUAUUUAUCACAAAUAAUCUCUAAAAAUUGACCCAUUUUAAUUAAGAUGAUUUUUAAAAUUAAAAAUUAAUCAUUGUAGUUCCUGAAUAUGAAUGACGCUAAUCAAUGUUGUCAUUCUGUUAAAAUUUUGUCAAAACUUCUAUUAGUGGUUUAUGUGGAACAUAUGCGAGACCUGUGAGUCUAAUUAAAUAGUGCUACAUGGAUAAAUUUUCAAAACUAUAUAAAAAUGAGAAUUAUUAUUGUCACUCUAAAAAUCUUAUUUUGCACUCCAACUUUCCAUAAUUAAGAAGAAAAAUGCACUUGUCAGGAGUGUAGAAUAAGAUUUUUGGAGUGCUAAUAACAGUUCCCAUAAAAAGUAAAAAGAAAUGCGAAGAAGACUUUCUCAUAAUUGGGACUUUCGAUGAAUUCUCUUUCACCUCAUGUUUUUAGAACAAUAUUUUAUAAUGUUGACACAUGCAUUGAUGCUAAAGUUAAACUAUGAAGUAGCAGAGAGUCCAUAAAGAGUUAUACUUUUGAGAGAGUCUCCUAAACAUUUCUAAAAAAAUAAUUUAAAUCAUUAAAAUUUAAUUAAAAUUUUAAUAAAAACGUUAGUGUAAUGUGAGAGAUGAAAAUUCAGUAUGAGGAUAUGGAAGUCUAUCUCUUUACUAAAGAAAUAUUUCACACGGAUGAGAACUAUAAUUUUGCUUAUGGAAUGAACUUAGUUGUGGAAGAAUUUUCUUGAGGUACACUUCAGAGUAAGAUUCUCUUAUCUCUUUUUUUCAUCUCUUUUUCCUUCAUCUCUUCUCACACUCUCCCUUUUAUUUUAUUGUUUCUAUGUAAAAAUCAAUAUAAAAUCUUAAUAUUGCUUAAUCGUAACGUUUAAGUAAGAAUGGAGAAAAAUUGAGAGAGAUGAGGAAGAGAGAAUCCACCUCCCUAAAAUUCAGGCCUUCAUCACAGUACAUUCUUACUUUAUUUGGCAGGUAGCCAGCGUCCGUACUCCAAAUUUGUCCUCAUUUGCUCACGAAAUUAUUUCACUGUAUAUUGUUGCCAAGCAAUAUUUAUGGGAUGAGGGCAUUUGUGUUAACUACAUUGAAAUGUUUGGGAAUUGAAGAAAAAAUCAAGAAGAAAUGAUGAAUAGAAGGAUGAAUACAGAGAUCUAGAGAGAGAGAGUUUAGAGAGAGAAAUAUGAUUUAUAUUGACUUACUGAAUGAAAAUUACACACUGUUUUUAUAAGAGAAAUCCUAACUACUUUAACCAAAUACUAACAAACUUAUUAACUGUAUUGCUAACUGUAUUUCUAAUUGUAUUACUGACUUGUACCCUUAAUAAUUUGUCACAGCAAUUUGGCCAGCCAAUAUGAAUUCCUUCCAGUGUUAUGCUCACCAUGGAAUACAAAGCUGGCAGCCAACUGUAGCAUGCUAUCAUAGGAUGCAAAGACUUGUUUUCCGAAUGAUACUUGGCCAGAUGAAAUUAACGUCAAAAGGAGGGAUGGCUCGGCGAAAUUAUCUACCGGGUGAUGGCGCAGAAGUGUUUUGGCCAGAUAGAUGGCUUGACGAAAAUGGCCAUUUGCAUCAAGAAAGCCCUUUCAAAUUCACAGCCUUCCAGGUAAGAAAAAAUGUUGAUUGCAUUCACACCCAUCGCAAAUUUUAUUACCACAGAAAUGCGAAAUUCUAAAGAGAUUUUGUGAUUCGAUGCAGGCUAGUUCAAAUUUACUUAAAGGGAGAUGAUAUUUUCUGCCGUGCGUUUAGACGUCUUCAUAUUCAAGCUAACUGGUGAGGAGAAAGCGUCAAUUGCAGGACGAUGGUCACCCUCCAUGUUGAUGGGGAUUGGGGUAUGUUAACUUAUACAAUUUAUGUACAUUUUACUUAUGGUAUCAUCAAUGGCAUAACCAAAUGUUUUCCUUCUUUUCUUCUUUACAUGCCUUCCAAGAAUGUGCCCCAUUCAAGUCUCGUCUUUAGGAGAAAAACUUAGGGUAGAGACACUCCGACCUAAUCAUCCUGUAUUUUGGUUAGGGUCACAAAAACAAAGAACUCUCUUGUAUUUUCCCCUAGUAAACGAGUCCUACCAAAGUUUUCUUGAUUAUAUGUCUAAUAAAGUAAUCAUCACUGAACUCACAUUUGGUAUUGGAACUUGAAGGUAGUGUGUCUCCAUCAAUAAUGUCCUCCAAAAUGGAAAAUACUGGCUCCUUUUUUUGAAAAUAUUCAGUCCUAGCUACUUACUAAUCACAGCUGGAGAGCUGCGCACAAGCUUUUCUUUAUAUGUUUUUAACAUAAUAUUUUUGCAUGUAUCAAACUGUGAUUUCUUCGUAUGUAGCGUUGAAGAAUCAAAAUGAACUUUAAGAAGCCGAUCACGGUUGCAAAUUAAAACAUGCCUUAAUUUUGUCUUGGUCUACAGAAAACGCAGAGCAUGGGCAGCUGGCUAUAAAAAAACAGAGCCCUUUUUAUUGCCUUUAUCUGGUACAACAGAGAAUAACGUAUUCCAAACAAAAUCAAUUGAUUCAGAAAAGGCAUAAAAAAAUAUUAAGAGAAAUUCUAAGAGCCCACAAUUUUAUUUUUUUAUUACCCUAUUUUUUGUUGAGAUGGAUGCCCAAUUGGGUGCCAAAAGGGAUCAAAAUACAGGCCAAUGGAAGAAAUUAAAGGCAGCCCCCUUGAAUCUCCAAUUUUUAUUCUUACAAUUUUGCCAUGUACAACUCCCCCUUCAAGUCUGUGAAGCCUCUUGUAACCUACUGUGGUUCCAUUUGCCACCCUCUUACCGUCCACGUAAAUUAUGUGCCGUUUGAUCCUCUGACCAAGCCCGAUCGCCUCCUGGAUCCGAAUCACAUUGAAUCUCAGCCCUUCAUCUAAUCUUGUACUUAUAAAUUCAAUCCAAUGGUUCUCCUUUUCAUCAUCCCUUGGAGCCCAAUAUGUCCACAAAUGGUCAUUGUCUAGCAUAUUUUCAGGUUCAAAACCUCCUCCUUUGCCUCCUCUUUGGCUACUAACUUCAAUAGAACAUUUCUCUGCUAAAUUGGUUGAAAAUAUUGUGUCGAUUGCACUUCUGAAUUCUCUCAGUCUUUGAACAUCUUCGUCGGCUAUAAGUCCAGUCG
Molecule: long non-coding RNA, 7156 nt
Filed under: Malus domestica (apple)
Lineage: Eukaryota; Viridiplantae; Streptophyta; Magnoliopsida; Rosales; Rosaceae
Description: long non-coding RNA (MDOM_LNC001150)
Source: RNAcentral